UACACAAAAUGUGUACUUGAAAAUCUAUGCAGCAAGUUACAUCUGUUUGAAGAAUGUCACUUUAAAUAUGAACAACAUUAGUUGGUUUCCCUCCAUCUUAGUGUGCCUUGUAAUGGAAUCGUGGAUGAAGGGAAACCACUACAUAAUUCACGAUUAUCCUAUGUUCACUUUGUUAUCACUGUGUUGUUUUUGGUGUGGAUAUUCUGGCUGAAGUUAGAGAGUGCACGUGUUGAUCAUUGUCAGGCAAAGUCCUUUUCAGUUCCUCUUGGGAAAUUCAAGAAGAAGCCCCGGAUUAGGGUGCCUGAGGCCAUUAAAAAACCAGUAUUGCCUCAAGAUUUUGUUGAAAAACAGAAAGCCUACUUUGCGGAGAUCGAUGCUUUUGAACUUCCAGAGGAGGUUGUAUUAGAGAAUGAAUUGGAAUAGCAGGAUAAAGAUUGAGGGACUUGUAGAUCGCUAACAGUAAACCCUCCUGUUACUAGGUCCAGUUAGCAUGUAAAUUUGGUGUAUAUACAGACUUCUUGCUGACACCCUUUUGUAAUUACAAUGCAACUAUUGACACGCAUGGAAAUAAAAUGACUUUCGUGGCAGCAUUUGUCAUCUUGCCUGCAAGCCCACCUGAUCAGAGUGGCAGGAGUAUGCAAAAUUCAAUGCUUUGGUUUCACCAGUUCUUAUGCAACGAGAGAGAUGUGCUCGAACAUUAUGCUUCG
Molecule: long non-coding RNA, 707 nt
Organism: Dioscorea cayenensis subsp. rotundata (Guinea yam)
Lineage: Eukaryota; Viridiplantae; Streptophyta; Magnoliopsida; Dioscoreales; Dioscoreaceae
Exons: 4
Source: RefSeq, a predicted model, not a curated record